CUCAAGUCUAGUUCAGUGUCUUGAGGAUGAGGAGUGUGGGAGUCUAAAGCUGAAGCAGAUGAUGUCACUGCUGGAGCAUGACCUAAACCAAAGUUGACAGAGAAACUGAUAGUAUCAAGAAUGAGAUAAAUCACCACACUAAGUAUGGUCGUCAGGGAACCAAGCAGGCUGUGGACUGUGAUGCCAGGGGGUACUCAUUGGUUGCAACUCCGGCCAGACGUCCAACGAGAUGGCUGAGAUUAUUGCUGCAGUUUAAGUGAGAGGAGAGCACCAGGGUUUGAGUCUCUAACUGGAAUGUGGUUGAAGCUGUUCAUGCAUCAACCAAUAACUGAGUUUGUGCUGCUGGAAUUAGAUUUGAAAUCUCAACAAUCUCAACUGAGGUCAAUGAUGCAGACACCUCUGAUAUUACAGUAGCAGUGAAGGCGUACCAUGGACCCCCAAAGUACUCCUCAGCCAUUGCUCAGAAAACUACUGUAGCUGAGAAGGCCACUGCAGCAACAGGAUCCUAACUAUCUCAACCAAAGUUGAUGAUGCAGUCACCUCUGAUAUUACAGUAGCAGUGAAGCAAGUAACCAAUAACAAGACAAACCAGACUUAAUGAAAUCAGCAUAAGAACUGUCAUUGUCACUGUGGGCGUCGGGGACCCGACUGUUGCAGCAAAGUCAAUAAUGUCAAGAUGUCUGUAUAAACAUUCUCAGGUUGGUCACAAUUUAAACAAAGUUCAUUCAUUCAACAGUUUU
Long non-coding RNA from Asterias rubens (European starfish), 740 nucleotides. RefSeq lists it as uncharacterized. The record is from RefSeq and is a predicted model, not a curated record. Lineage: Eukaryota; Metazoa; Echinodermata; Asteroidea; Forcipulatida; Asteriidae. The transcript is spliced from 3 exons.